RNAcentral lists this ribosomal RNA (469 nucleotides) under uncultured bacterium. Its description in RNAcentral is "partial 16S ribosomal RNA". It matches the Rfam family "Bacterial small subunit ribosomal RNA", at positions 28 to 507 of the family's 1533-position model. The record is from RNAcentral.
GAUGAACGCUGGCGGCGUGCUUAACACAUGCAAGUCGAACGGUGAACACGGAGCUUGCUCUGUGGGAUCAGUGGCGAACGGGUGAGUAACACGUGAGCAACCUGCCCCUGACUCUGGGAUAAGCGCUGGAAACGGCGUCUAAUACUGGAUAUGUGACGUGACCGCAUGGUCUGCGUUUGGAAAGAUUUUUCGGUUGGGGAUGGGCUCGCGGCCUAUCAGCUUGUUGGUGAGGUAAUGGCUCACCAAGGCGUCGACGGGUAGCCGGCCUGAGAGGGUGACCGGCCACACUGGGACUGAGACACGGCCCAGACUCCUACGGGAAGCAGCAGUGGGGAAUAUUGCACAAUGGGCGCAAGCCUGAUGCAGCAACGCCGCGUGAGGGAUGACGGCCUUCGGGUUGUAAACCUCUUUUAGCAGGGAAGAAGCGAAAGUGACGGUACCUGCAGAAAAAGCGCCGGCUAACUACGUG